UGGGGAAUUUUGGACAAUGGGCGCAAGCCUGAUCCAGCCAUGCCGCGUGCGGGAAGAAGGCCUUCGGGUUGUAAACCGCUUUGUCAGGGAAGAAAUCUUCUGAGUUAAUACCUCGGGAGGAUGACGGUACCUGAAGAAUAAGCACCGGCUAACUACGUGCCAGCAGCCGCGGUAAUACGUAGGGUGCAAGCGUUAAUCGGAAUUACUGGGCGUAAAGCGUGCGCAGGCGGUUUUGUAAGACAGAGGUGAAAUCCCCGGGCUCAACCUGGGAACUGCCUUUGUGACUGCAAGGCUUGAGUGCGGCAGAGGGGGGAUGGAAUUCCGCGUGUAGCAGUGAAAUGCGUAGAUAUGCGGAGGAACACCGAUGGCGAAGGCAAUCCCCUGGGCCUGCACUGACGCUCAUGCACGAAAGCGUGGGGAGCAAACAGGAUUAGAUACCCUGGUAGUCCACGCCCUAAACGAUGUCAACUGGUUGUUGGGAAGGUUCCUUCUCAGUAACGUAGCUAACGCGUGAAGUUGA
RNAcentral lists this ribosomal RNA (520 nucleotides) under uncultured bacterium. Its description in RNAcentral is "partial 16S ribosomal RNA". It matches the Rfam family "Bacterial small subunit ribosomal RNA", at positions 355 to 868 of the family's 1533-position model. The record is from RNAcentral.